AACUUAUCCAGAGCGGUGGAGGGACUGGCCCUUUGAAGCCCAGCAACCAGCAGUUAAAUCUGUCCGGUGCUAAUUCCAGCAGGAAGAUUCCUGAUAGAUAAGGA
RNAcentral lists this non-coding RNA (104 nucleotides) under Halanaerobium saccharolyticum. RNAcentral describes it as "SAM-I sequence". It matches the Rfam family "SAM riboswitch aptamer (S box leader)". From Rfam's summary of the family: The SAM riboswitch is found upstream of a number of genes which code for proteins involved in methionine or cysteine biosynthesis in Gram-positive bacteria. The SAM riboswitch acts at the level of transcription termination control. The record is from RNAcentral. Lineage: Bacteria; Bacillati; Bacillota; Clostridia; Halanaerobiales; Halanaerobiaceae. RNAcentral also lists the same sequence under 1 other name.